GUAGAGACUACGGUCCCAUCUGCACCGUUGUGGGGCUUACUGUCUCCCCUUUGUACAUUAAGCUGCCGCUGGGGAGAGGGGGUAACCAGCUCCUCUCCCAUACAUACUUCCAGCUGCGGGGAAGGGAGACCGACUGUCUCUGCUCCCAAUACAGAGUCCUGCUGCUGGGGAAAGGAGACUGGGCUCUCUAUUCCCGGUAGGACACUCUGCCGCUGGGGAAUGGAGACUGGGCUCCCAAUUCCCAAAACAUCACGCUGCCGCUGCGGAGGGAGGACACUGCUCUCCUCUCCCUGGACUUCCCACUGCCUUCCCGGCAUAUCACCUGGCUUCUGGGGGGCAAGAACAACUACCUCUGCCCCCUGUAACUCAGCCUGCCGCUGGGGAAUGGAGCUCCGGCUCCCAAUUCCCUGCAAUAUCUCCCGCUGGGGAAUGGAGCUCGGGCUCCCAAUUCCCUGCAAUUCAUUCUGCUGCUGGGGGGCAGGAACAACUACCUCUGCCCCCUGUAACUCAGCCUGCCGCUGGGGAAUGGAGCUCCGGCUCCCAAUUCCCUGCAAUAUCUCCCGCUGGGGAAUGGAGCUCGGGCUCCCAAUUCCCUGCAAUUCAUUCUGCUGCUGGGGGGCAGGAACAACUACCUCUGUCCCCUGUAACUCAGCCUGCCGCUGGGGAAUGGAGCUCAGGCUCCCAAUUCCCUGCAAUAUCUCCCGCUGGGGAAUGGAGACUGGGCUCCCAAUUCCCAAUAAAUCACACGGCCGCUGGGGAAUGGAGACUGGGCUCCCAAUUCCCUGCAGGACCGGUGGAGAGACCUCGGUCCCAUCUCUACCGGCCACCUGGGGUUCUUCCCAGAAAAUAUCCACAAUGUCUUCCCAGCUGAAUGGGUCUGGUUCUGGCUCUGUCACGCUGCUCUCCUGCUGAGCCUUCUC
This is a non-coding RNA of Pelobates cultripes (western spadefoot toad), 920 nucleotides long. The record is from the annotation of a GenBank genome assembly. NCBI's taxonomy places the organism in Eukaryota, Metazoa, Chordata, Amphibia, Anura, Pelobatidae.